GCUAGAUUAGACAACACCGCUAGAUUAGACCACAGGCACCACCGCUAGAUUAGACCACAGGCACCACCGCUAGAUUAGACAACAGGCACCACCGCUAGAUUAGACAACACCGCUAGAUUAGACAACAGGCACCACCGCUAGAUUAGACAACAGGCACCACCGCUAGAUUAGACAACACCGCUAGAUUAGACCACAGGCACCACCACUAGAUUAGACCACAGGCACCACCACUAGAUUAGACCACAGGCACCACCACUAGAUUAGACAACAGGCACCACCACUAGAUUAGACCACAGGCACCACCACUAGAUUAGACCACAGGCACCACCGCUAGAUUAGACCACAGGCACCACCGCUAGAUUAGACCACAGACAACACCGCUAGAUUAGACAACACCGCUAGAUUAGACCACAGGCACCACCACUAGAUUAGACAACAGACACCACCGCUAGAUUAGACAACACCGCUAGAUUAGACCACAACACCACUAGAUUAGACAACAGGCAACACCGCUAGAUUAGACCACAGGCACCACCGCUAGAUUAGACCACAGGCACCACCGCUAGAUUAGACCACACCGCUAGAUUAGACCACAGGCACCACCACUAGAUUAGACAACACUGCUAGAUUAGGCACCACCACUAGAUUGGACAACAGGCACCACCGCUAGAUUAGACAAGAGGCACCACCGCUAGAUUAGACAACAGGCACCACCGCUAGAUUAGACCACAGGCACCACC
Molecule: long non-coding RNA, 740 nt
Organism: Oncorhynchus tshawytscha (Chinook salmon)
Lineage: Eukaryota; Metazoa; Chordata; Actinopteri; Salmoniformes; Salmonidae
Source: Ensembl